Long non-coding RNA from Papio anubis (olive baboon), 3394 nucleotides. NCBI's taxonomy places the organism in Eukaryota, Metazoa, Chordata, Mammalia, Primates, Cercopithecidae. The record is from Ensembl.
GACUUUUAAUGUGAGAAUUGAAUCAAUCAAGUGACUACUUGAGUUCGUUUGGGUCUUACUGUGACAAUUGUUAUUCUCAGUUUACCAUAGGCUUCAAAUAACUUCUGCAAUGGGCCACCCAUAUCUUGUGCUUAGUGUGGGGCCUUGGGUGCUAGAAGGUUUUUCUCAGUGUUUUUGCUCCACCCUUAGCUUUCAACAGUCUUUGCAUGCCUGCACCACAGAAUAGGGUCCCUUUCCACAUUCUUGCCUCUCCCCCAUAGACUGUUGCUGCUCAUUACUCAAUAUGAGGCUUACCAUGUGGUCAAUAGGGUAAAUUUCAGCUUCUGUUCGUCAGUCUCUGAAUUAAGGCCAGGCAGCCAGGGAUUGAGGGGUUAAGCCUUCUCCAUGUUUCUACCACUCCCCCACCACACCCUUUGGCUGCCAAAUCCUGCCUUGUAUCUGUAGUGUAUCUUGGGAAGCUGAGAGUUUCCUGCCCCUUCCCAAGCAGUAGAAGAUUUCUGCUUUGUUUUAUUCAGAAUUUUGGAUUUUUAAAGGGGUUUGUUGGUUUGUUUCUUCACUCUGUCAGAAGCAAGAAACUCUUUCUUCUACCUUUUCUCCACAGCAAUGGUUCUUUGCCUGGCUACUGAAGUUGAAAAGAAGAGUAUCCUACCCUACCCCUAGAAGCAGAUGGGUUUUAUUUCUGUCUGUCCUGCAGAGGCCUUGGAGGGAAGAGGUGACUUUCACCUUCCACCAUGAUUGUGAAGCCUUCCCAGCCACAAGGAACUGUGAGUCCAUUAAACCUCCUUUUCUUCACAAAUUACCCAGUCUCAGGUAUGUCUUCAUCAGCAGUGUGAAAACAGACUAAUACGACUGGUACCUGCUUGAAUCUUCUGUGCUCUCACUUGCUGCCACACCUUUGUACAUGAAUUGUCCAUUCUUUUCCUUUCCUCCUUUGCUAGGCUAACUUCUACUUCUUUAAGAUUCUUCUCAGAUUGACUCUUUGGAAAGCAUUUCCUAGUUCCCUCCCCCAGUCUUAUUCCCUAGCUCCAGCUGGAGUAUAGAUUUCUAACUGUGGGCUCCCACAACACCCUUUGCAUACUGCAUUUGUCACGCUGUCUUCUAAUUAUCUACCCCUCCAAACUGUGAGUUUCUCCAGAGCAGAAAUUGUGCCUUUCAUCUCUAUUAAUAGCUCCUGGCAGUGGUCCUGGCACACAGCACAUGCUUGUGAAGUGUUGAAUUGUUAAACUGGAUCACAACUUUCUCUAGCAUGAUUUUUGCUCGUGCACUUACUCCCUUGUUUGAGCAUCAGCCUUUCUCUGUUUCUUUACCUUAGACCACAAUCUAACAUAUUCAGUCCCCUCACCAUUAUAGGCAAAUGGUCACCAGGAGAGCUGGGAGAGUGUAUGACUAGACCCUAGCAAACACGUGACCUCUGCAGGAACAGCUCAGCAUUCAUGCCCAUUUCCUGGUGGAUCGGGAAUGUCACCUUCAAUCAAAGGUAUAGAAAAGAAGAACUUGAGGCCUUGGGAUCAACAAAGGAAAGUUCAGUUUCCUAUUUCCUCAUUCACUUAUACAGCCUUUGCCCAAUCACCUAUGCCCUGUGGAAUUCAUUUUCCUCAUCUAUAAAAUGAGAAUAAAAAUAAUUAUUCUUCUUAUUCAUGGAAUCACUUGAGGAUUACAAUGAAAUAAAAUAAUGUAUUCACAUCUAUUGUGUUUUUAAAUGUUUAAAUAUUAUAGACCUCAAAUCUUCUCAAACUGAUUCAUAAUAGAAAUUUCAUAAUAUAGGCAACCCAGAUUGACCACCUUCUCAGUCAUGGUAAUUUUCUAUAUAACACAAACAAGUAAAUAAAAAUUCUAACACGGCAUGUAAAUGUGAAUGAUUAUUAUGUAUUCAUCUUCAUCAUCUCCUUAAAGCAGCAUUAUUGAGACUUCAUCUGAGAAAUAGUAGCAUUCUUGGGAGUUUCUGUCCUAUAUAUUAAUAUAUGAGUAACUGAGGCAAGUGGGAGAGUCUGGUUAAUCCUGUUAUCCUGGUACCUGAUCAAUGACUUUAUUGUUGGGAAAUGGUGUGGUGUGGAAAAGCUAAGCUAUGCCCACUCUCAUCAUGUGAUAAAAGCUGCUUAAAUUCUUGCCUAGAUGAAAUGAUCUUUUACCAAAAAAUCCCCAAUAAAUGUCUCCCUAGCUUGAAAGUCUUUAGAAAAUAGAGUUGCUUGGUUUUAUUAUGUUAAAUAAAUAUUGUUUUAUACUUUUCCAAUAAGUUUUAACUUUAUUUUUGCACUGAAAUAUCUUAUAAUUUCCAUUUUGUGACUCCCACUAGUGAUGACUUAAGGGACACUUUAACCUGUCCAUUCAUCAUAAAAACCUAGAGUCAACCAAGUUUGACUACCUUUCCCAGCUAUGGUCGGUAAAUAUUUUCCCCUGUCAAUGGCUAGCUUAUUACUAUUGUAAAAUGAAUAAAUAAGGAAAAUAAUUAGGUGGUUCAUUUAGGCUCUUUUUGUAUUUGCUUAUUGUAAAUAAAAAUUGAAUCCAGUUUAAAUUAAGUGAUUCUUGUCAUAACCUAUUGUAGGAACAUGAAAUAAUCUAAGAAAAAGUUCCAGCCAUGCACAUCAGGAGAGCUUGUCAAAGUAAAGGGGAAACUACUUCUACAAAGAAGGAGAAAUAUUGCCUCCUCCUUUCAGGUACCAAUCUGAAAGCUGUUCUCUUUUCCAUCAAAAUUAAUGGUUGCUUUUAUAACUUCCCUCUUCCCUAAAGAGAGAAGAAAGUCAAAGAGACCUAGAAGCAAACCUUGCCUGGUUUUCCAAUAUCAGCUUACAAAGAAUGUUCUAAAGGAAAGCAAACUUUACAUUCCAGCUUUGCCUGAAUCUGUGCAAUAGUAAAUUGGUGACAGUAAUAGCUUAAGCAAUGGAAAAAUAAUGCAUGAGCCUUAUCUAAAUCUAAGUUUAGACUCAAGUCUAAACAUUGAGUAGUUAGUAACUCUCUGUAAAAUUAAUAGUAGGCUGGGGGCGGUGGCUCAUGCCUGUAAUCUCAGUACUUUGGGAGGCCAAAGAGGGCAGAUCACAAGGUCAGGAGAUCAAGACCAUCCUGACUAACACAGUGAAAGCCCAUCUAUCAGGGGAACCCACCCUCAGUAUUUCAACAUAGGUUCUUCCUGUUUUCCAUAAGUGUUGGCCAGCUGAGAAAUAAAGAGAAAGAGUACAAAGAGAGGAAUUUUACAGCUGGGCCGCUGGGGGUGACAUCACAUACCAGCAGGACCGUGAUGCCCACUAGAGCCUCAAAACCAGCAUGUUUUUUUUAAGGAUUUCAAAAGGGGAGGGGGUGUAUGAACAGGGAGUAGGUCACAAAGAUCAUAUGCUUCAAAGGGCAAAACGCAGAACAAAGAUCACAUGCUUCUGAGGAAACAGGACAAAGGGCAAAACGC